This 856-nucleotide ribosomal RNA is filed under the name Torula sp. RNAcentral describes it as "partial large subunit ribosomal RNA". It matches the Rfam family "Eukaryotic large subunit ribosomal RNA", at positions 43 to 918 of the family's 3401-position model. Lineage: Eukaryota; Fungi; Ascomycota; Dothideomycetes; Pleosporales; Torulaceae. The record is from RNAcentral.
UCAUAACGGAGGAAAGAAACCAACAGGGAUUGCCCUAGUAACGGCGAGUGAAGCGGCAACAGCUCAAAUUUGAAAUCUGGCUCCUUUGGGGUCCGAGUUGUAAUUUGCAGAGGGAGCUUUUGGCGUCGGUCGUGGUCUAAGUUCCUUGGAACAGGACGUCACAGAGGGUGAGAAUCCCGUACGUGGCCGCCGGCCUUCGCCUUGUAAAGCCCCUUCGACGAGUCGAGUUGUUUGGGAAUGCAGCUCUAAAUGGGAGGUAAAUUUCUUCUAAAGCUAAAUACCCGCCAGAGACCGAUAGCGCACAAGUAGAGUGAUCGAAAGAUGAAAAGCACUUUGGAAAGAGAGUGAAAAAGCACGUGAAAUUGUUGAAAGGGAAGCGCUUGCGGCCAGACGUGCCCGCGGUUGAUCAUCCAGGCUCCAGCCUGGUGCACUCCUCCGCGGGCAGGCCAGCAUCAGUUCGGGCGGUCGGAUAAAGGCCUCUAUCACGUACCACCCCUCGGGGUGGCCUUAUAGGGGAGGCGCAACACGGCCAGCCCGGACUGAGGUUCCGCGCAUCUGCUAGGAUGCUGGCGUAAUGGCAGCAAGCGGCCCGUCUUGAAACACGGACCAAGGAGUCUAACAUCUAUGCGAGUGUUUGGGUGUCAAGCCCGAGCGCGCAAUGAAAGUGAACGGAGGUGGGAACCCUUACCGGUGCACCAUCGACCGAUCCUGAUGUCUUCGGAUGGAUUUGAGUAAGAGCAUAGCUGUUGGGACCCGAAAGAUGGUGAACUAUGCCUGAAUAGGGUGAAGCCAGAGGAAACUCUGGUGGAGGCUCGCAGCGGUUCUGACGUGCAAAUCGAUCGUCAAAUUUGGGCAU